GACAGUUCAAUGUGCUUCAAGUUACAAUUCAAAAGAUAUACUUUCUCGGAGAACAUCAUUAGAUUUACGAACAUUCGUUAAAACAAAUUAAUACUUAAAUAACGGAAUCGACGAAAUAAGAAGACAUAAUGAACGGAACGAAGAUGUGCGAUAUGCAUUCGACGCUGAUGGCCAUAGAUCCAGGUGGUGCUGUAGGAGUGGAUCUGAUCGAUGAUUGUUUGGAAUAUACUUCAAUUUCAUAUCACAGUGUGAUUCUCAUAAAAAAUUGAAGAUGAUAUUGGGCCUUCUUUAUUGGUCCUAACUAACAUGUGACGAAUAGACAACCGUAAACUCUAUGAUGCAGCAAAAAUUCAAUAUUAACAAUUAAAUUCUGUCGCUCACUGAUAAUAAACCGUUCGAAAAACUCAUUCACAUUGGUCUGAAAUAAACUCAAUUUAUCACGAAUUUGUAAA
This is a long non-coding RNA of Contarinia nasturtii (swede midge), 452 nucleotides long. RefSeq lists it as uncharacterized. The record is from RefSeq and is a predicted model, not a curated record. Lineage: Eukaryota; Metazoa; Arthropoda; Insecta; Diptera; Cecidomyiidae. The transcript has 2 exons.